RNAcentral lists this transfer RNA (75 nucleotides) under Clostridium sp. CAG:288. RNAcentral's name for it is "transfer RNA-Gln(CTG)". It matches the Rfam family "tRNA". Rfam says of the family: Transfer RNA (tRNA) molecules are approximately 80 nucleotides in length. Their secondary structure includes four short double-helical elements and three loops (D, anti-codon, and T loops). Further hydrogen bonds mediate the characteristic L-shaped molecular structure. tRNAs have two regions of fundamental functional importance: the anti-codon, which is responsible for specific mRNA codon recognition, and the 3' end, to which the tRNAs corresponding amino acid is attached (by aminoacyl-tRNA synthetases). tRNAs cope with the degeneracy of the genetic code in two manners: having more than one tRNA (with a specific anti-codon) for a particular amino acid; and 'wobble' base-pairing, i.e. permitting non-standard base-pairing at the 3rd anti-codon position. The record is from RNAcentral. Lineage: Bacteria; Bacillati; Bacillota; Clostridia; Eubacteriales; Clostridiaceae. RNAcentral also lists the same sequence under 1 other name.
UGGGGUAUAGACAAGCGGUAAGUCAGCAGACUCUGAAUCUGUCACGCAUUGGUUCGAAUCCAAUUACCCCAGCCA